GACGAACGCUGGCGGCGUGCUUAACACAUGCAAGUCGAACGGAAAGGCCCUGCUUGCAGGGUACUCGAGUGGCGAACGGGUGAGUAACACGUGGGUGAUCUGCCCUGCACUUCGGGAUAAGCUUGGGAAACUGGGUCUAAUACCGGAUAGGACCGCACUUUAGUGUGUGUGGUGGAAAGUUUUUUCGGUGUAGGAUGAGCUCGCGGCCUAUCAGCUUGUUGGUGGGGUAAUGGCCUACCAAGGCGGCGACGGGUAGCCGGCCUGAGAGGGUGUACGGCCACAUUGGGACUGAGAUACGGCCCAGACUCCUACGGGAGGCAGCAGUGGGGAAUAUUGCACAAUGGGCGCAAGCCUGAUGCAGCGACGCCGCGUGGGGGAUGAAGGCCUUCGGGUUGUAAACUCCUUUCGCUAGGGACGAAGCUUUGUUGUGACGGUACCUAGAUAAGAAGCACCGGCUAACUCCGUG
RNAcentral lists this ribosomal RNA (466 nucleotides) under uncultured bacterium. RNAcentral's name for it is "partial 16S ribosomal RNA". It matches the Rfam family "Bacterial small subunit ribosomal RNA", at positions 28 to 507 of the family's 1533-position model. The record is from RNAcentral.